RNAcentral lists this ribosomal RNA (253 nucleotides) under uncultured bacterium. RNAcentral describes it as "partial 16S ribosomal RNA". It matches the Rfam family "Bacterial small subunit ribosomal RNA", at positions 524 to 776 of the family's 1533-position model. The record is from RNAcentral.
UACGUAGGGGGCAAGCGUUGUCCGGAUUUAUUGGGCGUAAAGAGCGUGUAGGCGGCCAGGCAGGUCCGCUGUGAAAACUCGAGGCUCAACCUCGAGAGGUCGGUGGAAACCGUCUGGCUAGAGUCCGGAAGAGGAGAGUGGAAUUCCCGGUGUAGCGGUGAAAUGCUUAGAUAUUGGGUGGAACACCAGUGGCGAAGGCGGUGCGCUGGGCCGGAACUGACGCUCAUGAACGAAAGCGUGGGUAGCAAACAGG